RNAcentral lists this ribosomal RNA (497 nucleotides) under uncultured bacterium. RNAcentral describes it as "partial 16S ribosomal RNA". It matches the Rfam family "Bacterial small subunit ribosomal RNA", at positions 28 to 507 of the family's 1533-position model. The record is from RNAcentral.
GAUGAACGCUGGCGGCGUGCCUAAUACAUGCAAGUCGAGCGAACGGACGAGAAGCUUGCUUUUCUGAUGUUAGCGGCGGACGGGUGAGUAACACGUGGAUAACCUACCUAUAAGACUGGGAUAACUUCGGGAAACCGGAGCUAAUACCGGAUAAUAUUUUGAACCGCAUGGUUCAAAAGUGAAAGACGGUCUUGCUGUCACUUAUAGAUGGAUCCGCGCUGCAUUGGCUAGUUGGUAAGGUAACGGCUUACCAAGGCAACGAUGCAUAGCCGACCUGAGAGGGUGAUCGGCCACACUGGAACUGAGACACGGUCCAGACUCCUACGGGAGGCAGCAGUAGGGAAUCCUCCGCAAUGGGCGAAAGCCUGACGGAGCAACGCCGCGUGAGUGAUGAAGGUCUUCGGAUCGUAAAACUCUGUUAUUAGGGAAGAACAUAUGUGUAAGUAACUGUGCACAUCUUGACGGUACCUAAUCAGAAAGCCACGGCUAACUACGUG